RNAcentral lists this ribosomal RNA (424 nucleotides) under uncultured bacterium. RNAcentral's name for it is "bacterial SSU rRNA". It matches the Rfam family "Bacterial small subunit ribosomal RNA", at positions 361 to 776 of the family's 1533-position model. The record is from RNAcentral.
AUCUUCCGCAAUGGACGAAAGUCUGACGGAGCAACGCCGCGCGAGUGAUGAAGGCUUUCGGGUCGUAAAACUCUGUUGUUAGGGAAGAACAUGUGCUAGUUGAAUCAGCUGGCACCUUGACGGUACCUAACCAGAAAGCCACGGCUAACUACGUUCCAGCAGCCGCGGUAAUACGUAGUUGGCAAGCGUUAGCCGGAAUUAUUGGGCUUAAAGCGCGCGCAGGUGGUUUCUUAAGUCUGAUGUGAAAGCCCACGGCUCAACCGUGGAGGGUCAUUGGAAACUGGGAGACUUGAGUGCAGAAGAGGUAAGUGGAAUUCCAUGUGUAGCGGUGAAAUGCGUAGAGAUAUGGAGGAACACCAGUGGCGAAGGCGACUUUCUGGUCUGUAACUGACACUGAGGCGCGAAAGCGUGGGGAGCAAACAGG